This 128-nucleotide small nucleolar RNA is filed under the name Pteropus vampyrus (large flying fox). Its description in RNAcentral is "Small nucleolar RNA SNORA41 (ENSPVAG00000030161.1)". The record is from RNAcentral. Lineage: Eukaryota; Metazoa; Chordata; Mammalia; Chiroptera; Pteropodidae.
UUCCACACCUACUGGUCUGCAGCUGUUCUGGAAGCAGGAGCGGCAGGCCCCAGUGGGAAAGAAGGCCCCUCUCCAGGUGUUGCUGAGGCCGCUUCUGAUCUACUGGGCCCUUAAAGUGCCACUCAAUG